CAGCCGCCGCGGGAAUACGGAGGGUGCAAGCGUUAAUCGGAAUUACUGGGCGUAAAGCGCACGCAGGCGGUUUGUUAAGUCAGAUGUGAAAUCCCCGGGCUUAACUUGGGAACUGCAUUUGAAACUGGCAAGCUAGAGUCUUGUAGAGGGGGGUAGAAUUCCAGGUGUAGCGGUGAAAUGCGUAGAGAUCUGGAGGAAUACCGGUGGCGAAGGCGGCCCCCUGGACAAAGACUGACGCUCAGGUGCGAAAGCGUGGGGAGCAAACAGGAUUAGAUACCCCUGUAGUCCCUGUCUCUUAUAC
Molecule: ribosomal RNA, 301 nt
Filed under: uncultured bacterium
Lineage: Bacteria
Description: partial 16S ribosomal RNA
Rfam family: Bacterial small subunit ribosomal RNA
Source: RNAcentral